This 657-nucleotide ribosomal RNA is filed under the name uncultured bacterium. RNAcentral describes it as "bacterial SSU rRNA". It matches the Rfam family "Bacterial small subunit ribosomal RNA", at positions 124 to 775 of the family's 1533-position model. The record is from RNAcentral.
AUAUGCCUUUGAGUGGGGGACAACAGUUGGAAACGACUGCUAAUACCGCAUAACGUCUACGGACCAAAGGGGGGGAUGCUUCGGCACCUCUCGCUCAUUGAUUAGCCCAAGUGAGAUUAGCUAGUUGGUAAGGUAAUGGCUUACCAAGGCGACGAUCUCUAGCUGGUUUGAGAGGAUGAUCAGCCACACUGGGACUGAGACACGGCCCAGACUCCUACGGGAGGCAGCAGUGGGGAAUAUUGCACAAUGGGCGAAAGCCUGAUGCAGCCAUGCCGCGUGUGUGAAGAAGGCCUUCGGGUUGUAAAGCACUUUCAGCGAGGAGGAAAGGGUGUUGUUUAAUACGCAACAUCUGUGACGUUACUCGCAGAAGAAGCACCGGCUAACUUCGUGCCAGCAGCCGCGGUAAUACGAGGGGUGCAAGCGUUAAUCGGAAUUACUGGGCGUAAAGCGUGCGUAGGUGGUUUGUUAAGCAAGAUGUGAAAGCCCCGGGCUCAACCUGGGAACUGCAUUUUGAACUGGCAAACUAGAGUAUUGUAGAGGGUAGUGGAAUUUCCAGUGUAGCGGUGAAAUGCGUAGAGAUUGGAAGGAACAUCAGUGGCGAAGGCGGCUACCUGGACAAAUACUGACACUGAGGCACGAAGCGUGGGGAGCAAACAG